RNAcentral lists this long non-coding RNA (209 nucleotides) under Mytilus galloprovincialis (Mediterranean mussel). The record is from RNAcentral. Lineage: Eukaryota; Metazoa; Mollusca; Bivalvia; Mytilida; Mytilidae.
AAAAAAAGGUGUAGGUCUUGAUGUAGGUCUUGACUAAUUAGACACGCUCUAAAAAAAAUCGGCGGGUCCAUAACUUUAUCUUAAUAAUGUAUCAAUGCUUUACUUCAGAUCCACUUUGGCCUUGUCCUAAAUAUGCGUGAUAUAUUUGCCACUGGAGCACCGGAUUUAUCAGUUUCAUAUACAGUUUUCAACGGAUAAUUGUCUCAAAC